CAGUGAUUUUAAUAAUCAGGCCGAGGAUGAGGCCACAGCUAAUGAUGUGCCCUGUAAUUGCAAACGCAGAUCUUGAAUUUGAGGCAAAUGCCGCUGCUGCUUUGUUACAACUUCAGCAGCGGAAAGGACAUUGAUCUACGCAUAAAACGAUCGAAACUGAUUUAGUAUAAACUUUAUAUUUAGUUCGUGUCAUUUUCAGUGCCGUAGCCAGCUC
This is a non-coding RNA of Paramuricea clavata, 214 nucleotides long. NCBI's taxonomy places the organism in Eukaryota, Metazoa, Cnidaria, Anthozoa, Malacalcyonacea, Plexauridae. The record is from the annotation of a GenBank genome assembly.